GAGUCACCAGCACGCAGGAGAAGAGGGCGAAGCGGCCACCCGCGUUCUGUGUUCGGAGUCAGGACGAGAAGCAUUGGGUGGGAGCAGGGCGAGGGGCUCGAGUUGGGUCUGCAGCGGGCACAGGACCUAGUUUUGUACAGUUAACGGUGGGGUUGAGUAAAGAGGGGGGCGGUGGGGAGGAUGUAAGCUCCCUUUAUUCCUUUCCCAGCGGACCAGGAGGAAGCUUCGUUGAAUUGAGCGCCCCUGGCUCGUAUAGCAGGCCGAGGAGGGAGCUCAUGGGCAGCGUUGGCUAAGAGUUCGAGAUCAUCUAGAAAUGUCAGAAACGUAGGUUGGGUCGUGAGGUCUCUGAAGACAGUGGGUGAAACUCCAGUGUAAGGCGCUGCGUCCGCUUGGUAGAGAGCCGGCCGAAGUCCGAGUCUUUGUUGCGAGGCGUAGGGCCACCCUGCGCGCCCAGCAGAAGCGCUAGAGGGCACGGUUGCCCGGGGUGAACCGCAUGUCCAAAUGUAACUGUGUGCUCCGAGUUAAAAUUGUUUUUCUGCAGACUUUGCUUGAGCCAACGAUUCCGGAAUUGGGGAAAGGGUUACCUUAGGUAGAAAUCGGAAAUUUAUAGGAGACACAGAGGUAAGGACCAACUGUUAGGACUGAGUGAAAAAUGGUUCCCUCCAACUGUAAAAGUGGAAAAAAAAAUACCUAUCUUAUAGGUGGGGCAGUGAGGAGUAAAUGAGUUUAAUAUAUUUCAAGCUUUUAAAACAACCUCGCCCAUCAUAAGCACUGUUUAAACAUUAGCUCUUAUCUUUUAAAAAUAUUAGUGGAUGUUUAAAAUGAAUGAAUACAAUUUGUCCAAGAAAUAUGGCGUAAGAGCCCAGAAGAAAUAAAGUUUAAUCUUACAAAGGGCUUCUGUAGAAAGAAUACAUGCAUGGAAUUGAUGGAAUUUGGUAUAAAUCUUGAAAAAACUUAAUAGGUGUAUUCAAUCGUUCAGUAAAUGUUUCCUGAGCAUUUAUCAUGUGUCAGCUACUGUUGGAGCUCUGAGAAUGGUUCUCAUGCAGUUUACAUUCUAGUAAGAGAGCAAGGCCCAAUAACCAAGCACUCGUGGGAGAAGAAGGAUUUCAGAUACCACGGGGUGGGCAGGCAUUAUAGCAGGAGCUAAAAAGCACAGAGUGAAAGCAUGUAUUCUGGGAUUGCAUUGGGACUUGGAGGGGAUAUAACGGGAGUGUAGGGGUGUGGCGUUAGCACAAGGGGAGCCUCAACUGGCUUAAUAAGACAUUUACCUCAAUGAUAGGGGUAAACCACUGUAGGGUUUUGUUUGUUUUUUUAAGAACACACAACAACACUAGGUUUUGU
This 1341-nucleotide long non-coding RNA is filed under the name Homo sapiens (human). RNAcentral's name for it is "non-protein coding lnc-SELENOT-45:4". Lineage: Eukaryota; Metazoa; Chordata; Mammalia; Primates; Hominidae. The record is from RNAcentral.